RNAcentral lists this ribosomal RNA (844 nucleotides) under Viridibacillus sp. Its description in RNAcentral is "bacterial SSU rRNA". It matches the Rfam family "Bacterial small subunit ribosomal RNA", at positions 50 to 875 of the family's 1533-position model. The record is from RNAcentral. Lineage: Bacteria; Bacillati; Bacillota; Bacilli; Caryophanales; Caryophanaceae.
UAAUCAUGCAAGUCGAGCGAAUGAUGAAGAAGCUUGCUUCUUCUGAUUUAGCGGCGGACGGGUGAGUAACACGUGGGCAACCUACCUAGUAGAUUGGGAUAACUCCGGGAAACCGGGGCUAAUACCGAAUAAUUCAUUUCACCUCAUGGUGAGAUGCUGAAAGGCGGUUUCGGCUGUCACUACUAGAUGGGCCCGCGGUGCAUUAGCUAGUUGGUGGGGUAAUGGCCUACCAAGGCAACGAUGCAUAGCCGACCUGAGAGGGUGAUCGGCCACAUUGGGACUGAGACACGGCCCAAACUCCUACGGGAGGCAGCAGUAGGGAAUCUUCCACAAUGGACGAAAGUCUGAUGGAGCAACGCCGCGUGAGUGAUGAAGGUUUUCGGAUCGUAAAACUCUGUUGUAAGGGAAGAACAAGUACGUUAGUAACUGAACGUACCUUGACGGUACCUUAUUAGAAAGCCACGGCUAACUACGUGCCAGCAGCCGCGGUAAUACGUAGGUGGCAAGCGUUGUCCGGAUUUAUUGGGCGUAAAGCGCGCGCAGGUGGUUUCUUAAGUCUGAUGUGAAAGCCCACGGCUCAACCGUGGAGGGUCAUUGGAAACUGGGAGACUUGAGUGCAGAAGAGGAAAGUGGAAUUCCAAGUGUAGCGGUGAAAUGCGUAGAGAUUUGGAGGAACACCAGUGGCGAAGGCGACUUUCUGGUCUGUAACUGACACUGAGGCGCGAAAGCGUGGGGAGCAAACAGGAUUAGAUACCCUGGUAGUCCACGCCGUAAACGAUGAGUGCUAAGUGUUAGGGGGUUUCCGCCCCUUAGUGCUGCAGCUAACGCAUAAGCACUCCGCCUG